AGUGAACGCUGGCGGUAGGCCUAACACAUGCAAGUCGAACGGCAGCACAGUAAGAGCUUGCUCUUACGGGUGGCGAGUGGCGGACGGGUGAGGAAUACAUCGGAAUCUACUUUUUCGUGGGGGAUAACGUAGGGAAACUUACGCUAAUACCGCAUACGACCUACGGGUGAAAGCAGGGGAUCUUCGGACCUUGCGCGAUUGAAUGAGCCGAUGUCGGAUUAGCUAGUUGGCGGGGUAAAGGCCCACCAAGGCGACGAUCCGUAGCUGGUCUGAGAGGAUGAUCAGCCACACUGGAACUGAGACACGGUCCAGACUCCUACGGGAGGCAGCAGUGGGGAAUAUUGGACAAUGGGCGCAAGCCUGAUCCAGCCAUACCGCGUGGGUGAAGAAGGCCUUCGGGUUGUAAAGCCCUUUUAUUGGGAAAGAAAAGCAGCAGGUUAAUACCCCGCUGUUCUGACGGUACCCAAGGAAUAAGCACCGGCUAACUUCGUG
This 492-nucleotide ribosomal RNA is filed under the name uncultured bacterium. RNAcentral's name for it is "partial 16S ribosomal RNA". It matches the Rfam family "Bacterial small subunit ribosomal RNA", at positions 29 to 507 of the family's 1533-position model. The record is from RNAcentral.